AGGACUUGACAUCCUCUGACGGCUUUAGAGAUAAAGUUUUCCCUUCGGGGACAGAGAGACAGGUGGUGCAUGGUU
Molecule: ribosomal RNA, 75 nt
Filed under: uncultured bacterium
Lineage: Bacteria
Description: partial 16S ribosomal RNA
Source: RNAcentral